GCUUAACUCCAGAAACGCAUCGCACGAUCCUUCUCCAGCUACCGGCACGAGCCAGCCCGCUCCUCCACCUCCCUGAUCACGAUUUCAUUCACUUCAUGGAAGCUAGCUUGCUAUGAUGGAGUGCUUGCUUUUCCUUUGAUGAAACUUUGCAUUGUAUCUAGCUUGCUAAGAUAGAACUUGCUAUCUUGGCCAAACUUUGCAUUGUAAUAUGUAUAUGGAUGGAACUUGCUUAUGUAUGAACAAUGUGUAUGGAUGGAACUUGCUUAUGUAUGAACAAUGUGUAUGGAUGAAACUUAUGUGCUGGAUAUGUGAUAUG
This is a long non-coding RNA of Triticum aestivum (bread wheat), 316 nucleotides long. RefSeq lists it as uncharacterized. Lineage: Eukaryota; Viridiplantae; Streptophyta; Magnoliopsida; Poales; Poaceae. The record is from RefSeq and is a predicted model, not a curated record. The transcript has 2 exons.